Molecule: transfer RNA, 511 nt
Filed under: bacterium GI935
Lineage: Bacteria
Description: partial contains 16S-23S ribosomal RNA intergenic spacer and 23S ribosomal RNA
Rfam family: tRNA (bases 137-209)
Source: RNAcentral
ACGCCUGAUAAGCGUGAGGUUCGGCAGUUCGAGUCUGCCCGGGCCUACCAGCCCCCACCAGACUAGUUCUGCUGGACUGAAAGCAGCAUGACCCGCACCGACAAGCUCUCCUGAGCCUCGCACUGUUCCUUGGAAUGGGGCCGUAGCUCAGUUGGUAGAGCGCCUGCUUUGCAAGCAGGAUGUCGUCGGUUCGACUCCGUCCGGCUCCACCAGGCCGCCCCGCGGCCCUGGAAUAGACCUGAGGCUCCCGUUGGACGCCUCGGUUGUUUCCCUGGAACUCGUAGAUCGCAUCAAGAGAUUGCCUCAGCUGCCUUGCAGCUGACGGCAUUGAUAUUGUGAAGGAAGAAUUGAUCCGGCCUGUUCAUAGGCUUUGAGGAUCCGUUCGAGAGAAGACAUUGUCUGACAAAAAUCAGGCAGGAACCCGCUGGCAUUUUCUUUUCCAGUCAGCGGAAUUUAUUUUCCUGCAUGAGUUUUGCUGAGAAAACGAAUCAAACGUUGAAAGGGCUUUCUG